UACGUAGGGUGCAAGCGUUGUCCGGAUUUAUUGGGCGUAAAGAGCUCGUAGGCGGUUUGGCAAGUCGGGUGUGAAAACUUCAGGCUCAACCUGGAGAUGCCACCCGAGACUGCUAUGACUGGAGUCUGGUAGGGGAUCACGGAAUUCCUGGUGUAGCGGUGAAAUGCGCAGAUAUCAGGAGGAACACCGGUGGCGAAGGCGGAUCUCUGGGCCAUUACUGACGCUGAGGAGCGAAAGCGUGGGGAGCGAACAGG
Molecule: ribosomal RNA, 254 nt
Filed under: uncultured bacterium
Lineage: Bacteria
Description: partial 16S ribosomal RNA
Rfam family: Bacterial small subunit ribosomal RNA
Source: RNAcentral